AUUGAACGCUGGCGGCAUGCCUUACACAUGCAAGUCGAACGGUAACAGGUCUUUCGGGAUGCUGACGAGUGGCGAACGGGUGAGUAAUACAUCGGAACGUGCCUAGUAGUGGGGGAUAACUACUCGAAAGAGUGGCUAAUACCGCAUGAGAUCUAUGGAUGAAAGCAGGGGACCUUCGGGCCUUGUGCUACUAGAGCGGCCGAUGGCAGAUUAGGUAGUUGGUGGGAUAAAAGCUUACCAAGCCUACGAUCUGUAGCUGGUCUGAGAGGACGAUCAGCCACACUGGGACUGAGACACGGCCCAGACUCCUACGGGAGGCAGCAGUGGGGAAUUUUGGACAAUGGGCGCAAGCCUGAUCCAGCAAUGCCGCGUGCAGGAUGAAGGCCUUCGGUUGUAAACUGCUUUGUACGGAACGAAAGUACUUGGUUAAUACCCUGGGAUCAUGACGGUACCGUAAGAAUAAGCACCGGCUAACUACGUGCCAGCAGCCG
RNAcentral lists this ribosomal RNA (491 nucleotides) under uncultured bacterium. RNAcentral's name for it is "bacterial SSU rRNA". It matches the Rfam family "Bacterial small subunit ribosomal RNA", at positions 30 to 517 of the family's 1533-position model. The record is from RNAcentral.